Molecule: long non-coding RNA, 648 nt
Organism: Homo sapiens (human)
Lineage: Eukaryota; Metazoa; Chordata; Mammalia; Primates; Hominidae
Source: Ensembl
UGCAGCUCCCAGUUGAUCAAUGCAGAAGUUCGUAGGUCUUGAGAUCAAGAGCAACCCCAUGUGGAUCCAUGGUAGAUCACAAGAUCUGGAAGUUUGUGCCUAAUGUUGUUAUCAGAUGAGCCUUUUGGGGAUGUCCUGAAGGGUUCCUUGAGGUGUGACCUUAGAUUGUCUAUUUGUAUUCUUCAUCCAAAUACAAGAAGCACCAAGAACACCUGGGAAAUUCACCGCAAAAACAUCUUUGCAUGGGCACAUUGUCAUCAGGUUAUCCAAAGUUAAGACAGGGAAAGAAUCUUAAGAGCUGUGAGACAGAAGUACCAGGUAACCUCUAAAGGAAAACCUAAGGUCAGUUUUUUUUAAGAAAAGUAACUUUAUUGUGGUAUAAAGACUACAAAAUCAAGGUGUCAAAAAUUAAAUUAGAUGCAAGGUAUAAAAAAUUGCUGUUCUGUAGGUCCAAAUGAACUUUAUGAAAUUCCCAUCUUUUAAAAUCAUAAAUGGCUGAAAUUUGUCAAUUUUGUAUGGAACUCACUAUUAUAUAUGGGAAUAUAAUCAGUGACUUAUACUCAGAGGAAAUCCUUUGACACUGUAUCAAAGAUCUGGUCAUGAAAUGCAUAUUUAGACAUUGCAAGUUAUAAUAAAAUGUUGAAAACA